RNAcentral lists this small RNA (105 nucleotides) under bovine gut metagenome. Its description in RNAcentral is "RT-5 RNA". It matches the Rfam family "RT-5 RNA". From Rfam's summary of the family: Clostridium (Firmicutes). Environment (Cow rumen (57)) The record is from RNAcentral.
UGCGCCUGCGGGGGACCCGGCGCGUUCGACCGAAACGGCUUCACAGGCAGCCCGUUCGCGUACGGUCCGGUACAUCCCGGAAUUUUCCGGGCUUUAACGUCUUCU